GACGAACGCUGGCGGCGUGCUUAACACAUGCAAGUCGAACGGAAAGGCCCUGCUUUUGUGGGGUUCUCGAGUGGCGAACGGGUGAGUAACACGUGAGUCACCUGCCCUUUACUUUGGGAUAACUUCAGGAAACUGGGGCUAAUACCGGAUAGGAGCUCCUGCUGCUUGGGGGGCGUUGGAAAGUUUCGGCGGUUGUGGAUGGACUCGCGGUUUAUCAGCUUGUUGGUGGGGUGGUGGCUUACCAAGGCUUCGACGGGUAGCCGGCCUGGGAGGGUGACCGGCGACAUUGGGACUGAGAGACGGCCCAGACGGGUAAGGGAGGCAGCAGGGGGGAAGAUUGCACAAUGGGCGGAAGGCGGAUGCAGCAGCGCCGCGUGCGGGAAGACGGCUUUCGGGGUGAAAACCGCUUGCGACUGAAACGAAGCGUGAGUGACGGUAAUGGGUAAAGAAGCACCGGCUAACUACGUG
This 468-nucleotide ribosomal RNA is filed under the name uncultured bacterium. Its description in RNAcentral is "partial 16S ribosomal RNA". It matches the Rfam family "Bacterial small subunit ribosomal RNA", at positions 28 to 507 of the family's 1533-position model. The record is from RNAcentral.